UCCCUGGUGGUCCAGAGGUUAAGACACUGUGUUUCUGCUGCAGGGGGCAAGGGUUCAAUCCCUAGCCAGGGAA
Transfer RNA from Ovis aries (sheep), 73 nucleotides. It matches the Rfam family "tRNA". Rfam says of the family: Transfer RNA (tRNA) molecules are approximately 80 nucleotides in length. The record is from Rfam. NCBI's taxonomy places the organism in Eukaryota, Metazoa, Chordata, Mammalia, Artiodactyla, Bovidae.